This 316-nucleotide ribosomal RNA is filed under the name uncultured Alphaproteobacteria bacterium. RNAcentral describes it as "bacterial SSU rRNA". It matches the Rfam family "Bacterial small subunit ribosomal RNA", at positions 154 to 504 of the family's 1533-position model. The record is from RNAcentral. Lineage: Bacteria; Pseudomonadati; Pseudomonadota; Alphaproteobacteria.
AUACUUGAGCUAAUACCGGAUACGCCCUUAGGGGGAAAGAUUUAUUGCCGAAGGAUUGGCCCGCGUCCGAUUAGCUAGUUGGUGAGGUAAUGGCUCACCAAGGCGACGAUCGGUAGCUGGUCUGAGAGGAUGAUCAGCCACACUGGGACUGAGACACGGCCCAGACUCCUACGGGAGGCAGCAGUGGGGAAUAUUGGACAAUGGGCGCAAGCCUGAUCCAGCCAUGCCGCGUGAGUGAUGAAGGCCCUAGGGUUGUAAAGCUCUUUCGCCAGGGACGAUAAUGACGGUACCUGGAUAAGAAGCCCCGGCUAACUUC